ACAAAUUAUUAUUUAUCACUAUCUAUAUUUUUUUAUUAAUCCUAGAGGCAUUUUGCACUUGCUGGGACUCGAACCCAAGCCCAUAGGACUCGAACCCAAGCCCAUAGGACUCGAAACCAAGCCCCAAUUAAUGUUAUAAGCAAACUGCAACAGCCAGGAUUCGAACCCAAGUCUUUCCAGUGACCCGGGGAAGCAUUGACCACU
This 204-nucleotide long non-coding RNA is filed under the name Phaseolus vulgaris (common bean). RNAcentral describes it as "long non-coding RNA (PVUL_LNC000206)". The record is from RNAcentral. Lineage: Eukaryota; Viridiplantae; Streptophyta; Magnoliopsida; Fabales; Fabaceae.